GGGGGAAUAUUGGACAAUGGGCGAAAGCCUGAUCCAGCCAUGCCGCGUGAGUGAUGAAGGCCUUAGGGUUGUAAAGCUCUUUUGUCCGGGAAGAUAAUGACGGUACCGGAAGAAUAAGCCCCGGCUAACUUCGUGCCAGCAGCCGCGGUAAUACGAAGGGGGCUAGCGUUGUUCGGAUUUACUGGGCGUAAAGCGCACGUAGGCGGAUCUUUAAGUCAGAGGUGAAAUCCCAAGGCUCAACCUUGGAACUGCCUUUGAUACUGGAGAUCUCGAGUUCGGGAGAGGUGAGUGGAACUGCGAGUGUAGAGGUGAAAUUCGUAGAUAUUCGCAAGAACACCAGUGGCGAAGGCGGCUCACUGGCCCGAUACUGACGCUGGGGUGCGAAAGCGUGGGGAGCGAA
Molecule: ribosomal RNA, 400 nt
Filed under: uncultured bacterium
Lineage: Bacteria
Description: bacterial SSU rRNA
Rfam family: Bacterial small subunit ribosomal RNA
Source: RNAcentral